Molecule: ribosomal RNA, 474 nt
Filed under: uncultured organism
Description: partial 16S ribosomal RNA
Rfam family: Bacterial small subunit ribosomal RNA
Source: RNAcentral
ACACUCCUACGGGAGGCAGCAGUGGGGAAUAUUGCACAAUGGGCGCAAGCCUGAUGCAGCCAUGCCGCGUGUAUGAAGAAGGCCUUCGGGUUGUAAAGUACUUUCAGCGGGGAGGAAGGCGAUAAGGUUAAUAACCUUGUCGAUUGACGUUACCCGCAGAAGAAGCACCGGCUAACUCCGUGCCAGCAGCCGCGGUAAUACGGAGGGUGCAAGCGUUAAUCGGAAUUACUGGGCGUAAAGCGCACGCAGGCGGUCUGUCAAGUCGGAUGUGAAAUCCCCAGGCUCAACCUGGGAACUGCAUUCGAAACUGGCAGGCUAGAGUCUUGUAGAGGGGGGUAGAAUUCCAGGUGUAGCGGUGAAAUGCGUAGAGAUCUGGAGGAAUACCGGUGGCGAAGGCGGCCCCCUGGACAAAGACUGACGCUCAGGUGCGAAAGCGUGGGGAGCAAACAGGAUUAGAUACCCGAGUAGUCCCAU